Molecule: long non-coding RNA, 296 nt
Filed under: Medicago truncatula (barrel medic)
Lineage: Eukaryota; Viridiplantae; Streptophyta; Magnoliopsida; Fabales; Fabaceae
Description: long non-coding RNA (MTRU_LNC005401)
Source: RNAcentral
UAACAUUAACAAGUCCUAAAACAUCAGCACAAACACCUAGCUUUAAUGUGUCACUAGGACAUUUUUGUGAUGUUGAAGGAGUAGGAGGUGUUGUUGAAGGUGUUGGAGGACAUGGUGUUGAUGAAGGUGGUGGAGGACUAGGCUUUGGCUUUGGCUUAGGCUUAGGUGAUGGAGUUGGUUUGCAUGAACCACAAGCAUGUGAAAAUGUUGAAUAAGCAAGGAGAGAAAACAAUAUAAUUAGGGCACUAAGCUUGUUGGAAGCCAUUGUUAAGAAAUGUACGCUAAUGCUUUUGUGU